GGCCAAGUUUUUAAGGGCGCACGGUGGAUGCCUUGGCACCAGGAACCGAUGAAGGACGUGAGAGGCCGCGAUAGGCCCCGGGGAGCUGCCAACUGAGCUUUGAUCCGGGGGUGUCCGAAUGGGGAAACCCGGCAGUCGUCAUGGGCUGUCACCCACUGCUGAACACAUAGGCAGUGUGGAGGGAACGAGGGGAAGUGAAACAUCUCAGUACCCUCAGGAAGAGAAAACAACCGUGAUUCCGGGAGUAGUGGCGAGCGAAACCGGAUGAGGCCAAACCGUAUGCGUGUGAUACCCGGCAGGGGUUGCGCAUGCGGGGUUGUGGGAAUGAGCUUUCACAGUCUGCCGGCUGUGAGGCGAGUCAGAAACCGUUGAUGUAGUCGAAGGACAUGCGAAAGGUCCGGCGUAGAGGGUAAGACCCCCGUAGACGAAACAUCAGCGGCUUGCUUGCUCAUCUCCCAAGUAGCACGGGGCCCGAGAAAUCCCGUGUGAAUCUGGCGGGACCACCCGCUAAGCCUAAAUAUUCCCUGGUGACCGAUAGCGGAUAGUACCGUGAGGGAAUGGUGAAAAGUACCGCGGGAGCGGAGUGAAAUAGUACCUGAAACCGUGUGCCUACAAGCCGUGGGAGCGUCGCU
RNAcentral lists this non-coding RNA (632 nucleotides) under Streptomyces sp. NRRL F-4428. RNAcentral's name for it is "Bacterial large subunit ribosomal RNA". It matches the Rfam family "Bacterial large subunit ribosomal RNA", at positions 1 to 586 of the family's 2925-position model. The record is from Rfam by way of RNAcentral. Lineage: Bacteria; Bacillati; Actinomycetota; Actinomycetes; Kitasatosporales; Streptomycetaceae.